Molecule: non-coding RNA, 192 nt
Organism: Podarcis lilfordi (Lilford's wall lizard)
Lineage: Eukaryota; Metazoa; Chordata; Lepidosauria; Squamata; Lacertidae
Source: the annotation of a GenBank genome assembly
GCUCCCUGGCAGGUGGGUUGCAGUUGCUUGCUGUGAGGGAGAGGGGGAUGGGUGAGGUCAGUGCAGUGGAAACACGGAAACAGAGGCAAUCUGGUGCUCCUGCUGGUUUGUUCCACCAUGAUAUCCUUCCUGCCACUUCACCCAUCUCCCUCUACCACCUGGUGAGCAACAGUGACUCACCUGCCGAGAAGC